Molecule: long non-coding RNA, 2551 nt
Organism: Musca domestica (house fly)
Lineage: Eukaryota; Metazoa; Arthropoda; Insecta; Diptera; Muscidae
Exons: 3
Source: RefSeq, a predicted model, not a curated record
AAAACCAAGUAACUAUUAAAUAAUUUACGUUUGAAUAAAAGUAACCUAUGAUUGACUUCAUCAAAGGCUUUGCUGAAAUCGGUAUAAUUUAUAUCAGUUUAUUUGUUGUGAACAAACCCUAUAAUUACCUCUCAUAAAAAUUGGAUAAGAUUAGUAAUGGUUGAGAGUCUACUGCGGAAACCAUGUUGAAAUGGACUUAGAAAGAUAUGAUUUUAUGGGAAAUUACGUCAGUAAUUAAUUUUUCAAAUGGAAUGGCUGUCAAUUUUGCAAUUCCUCUAUAAUUGGAAACAUCUACUAAGCUGCCGGAUUAAUGUAGAUGAAGCAAAUACAAUUGUUUCCAAUCACAAGGGAAAUGACCAAAUUCAAGUGAAUAAUGGUACUGCAAUGUUAAAGGGACCUACAAGGUAUUUAAUAAUGGUAGAUGGAACCAGGAGUAUUCAGUACAAGAAGUCUAUGAAGAAGGUUGUAAGGAAGUAACUGAAAACACCAUGGCGGCCUCAUUAAAAACACAUUGCUACUGCCGAGGAGAUUUGUGCAAUAAAUCAAAUAAAAUUUUUAAUGUAAAAACUGUCAUUGUGAUAACUGCGCUUGGUGCACUUAUGAUAUGUUUCCAAAAUAAAUAUAUUUAAUGUGUGAAAGAAUCUCUACCCUAAACAUUGAGUUCUAUCGUAUGUCUUGGUACACAUUCGUAUUAAUAAUUGUGAAUAAAUGAAGUACAUGAGAUUAUUAUUUGUAAAAAUUUGGUAUUAUUUGUAUAAUUUCAUUUCACUUCAUUUUUUCAAAAAGAAGUCGUUCGAUGUAUAUAUCAAAUGAUUGUUCUCCACAGGUUCAUGAUAUCAGCCAUAUGGCCACAGAGGGUGUAUAUAAUUGGAUACAGCAAAAAUGUAAAAAAAUGCUGGUGCGCACAUUGAUCUUAAAAUAUAAUAAUAUGAAAGAAGUUGAAAGAAGACUCCGAUUAUCAAAUUUCAUAUUUCGCAUAUUCCUAAAAUUCUACCAACUCUAUAUAUUUUAUGGAGACGUGGUAGAUCGGACUACUCCUUGUACCUUCUACACAACGGGUUAAAAUGUUAAAUUCUAAUAACCCUCAUAAAAUGCAAAAAGAGCAUCCGACUGUUUGGUACAUCAUAAUAUUUCUACCAACGGUUAAUCCCUCACACAGUGUCAAAGUUUUGAAUAAUCAUAAUUCUUAUAAAAUCUAAUAAUUCUCGUAAAAUAUGAAAUGUCCGACCACCUUCAAAUUUCGCAUAUACCAAUAUUUCCACCAACCUUUAUACCUUAUACCGGACCACUCCAUUUCAUAUAUGGUCUGUCAAAUUUUAAUCUUUAAUAGCCGUAGGCCUGUCAUUUGAUUUAAAAAAAUUAGUUUGGUUGCAGAGAACGACACGCAAAAUAAUGCAGUUAUUCUCUAGAAAGCUUAAAUAUUUUACAACAAAAAACACCGAGGCUCAUUUUUUGUCCUAUGAAAAUCUGAUUUGAGAACAAAGGCGACAAAUAUCAUUUGGAAAUUUUUAUAAAGAACAUAUUUUUAUUUUUAUAUUUUCGUAGAACAAAAAUCCAGUCUCCGGUCAGUCUCCAACUUAGCUAUAUUUGUAAAAUGUACACAAGGAAACAUUAUCAGCAGCGAGGUUUCAAUAAUACGACCUCAACUUUUAUCAGCCAACUAGGGAUGCAUUAUGUGCGAUAUUAGAAUAUUUUAGAAGUUUAUAACGUUAUAUACAUGUUUAUAUCAUUCACAAAUUUUCAACAGCCGAAAGCCUAGAAACUGUCUAUCUGGCCAUCUUUGUUCCAUUUAGAUAACUUGAAUUAAAUUAGCGAAGGCACAAAUCAGAAACAGAUAAACAGAUCUGCAAUAAUAUUAUUUUUUUCUCAAAAGUACUCAUAUAUUACAACAAUGGUAAGAAACAUAUAAUUAAAAAAGUAUGUUUUCACUUAUUUAAAUAUUCGUCGUACUUCCUGGUGGGCGUUGUCGCAUAUACUUAGUUGUUUCUAGUUGUCCAGCAACAUCUUUCGGAGAGAGUAAAGUAGUUUCAUGUAGAAGUUUCAUGUAGAAGGUAAACAGACGAAAACCCUACAAAAAACUUGCAAGCAAUCAGAUGAUUUGUCAAAACAAAACAAUUUGUCCGUCAUAAAAAAAAUGAAAUACACAAAAAUUAAAAAUGAGUCGAAAAACAAAGCAAUUAGUUUCCUAAAUGAAGAUGUUUUUAAAUUGCUUGUCCAAAUAUAAAUCACCGGAAGAAGAAGGGUUGCAAGAGAUUACAAGAAGGAAUUUGUCCUGCGAGAAUUUGCAAAUUUUCAGUGAAAGAACUGUCAAAAAUUUUUUUUUUAAAUCGCCCUCUUGCAAAACUUUUGUGUUAACAGACGUGUGUACCAGAAUAAUUCUGCUGGAACAGGAAUCGACAAAUUCGAUGACUUGUAGGAAUUCUAUGUGCCAGGAUAACCUUGACCACCUGUGCCCCUGCUAGGAUAUUUCUGACAGGACAAUAUGGGUAUCACUGGAAAGCUUACGCAAAUUAAUUCAUACUCAAAUAUACGAUACGAUUAAAAAUCGCCA